AGCAUAAUCCUUAGGCCUUAGAGGUCUUGCUCAGACAUUUUUCUGGAGAGGAAUAUUUCCCUUCCAAUUAGUGAAGUAUUGCAACAGCUGUGAGAGCUAGCCCCUAAAGCCCUUCUGGGUCCCAUUCUCAUUCAUGUAGGCUGUGCCAUGUUAAUGGUGCCCAGUGAGCCUUCUAGCUCACAGCACUCUGUUAGUGGUCCUGAGAAACAGAUCCAUCUCCUUCGAGCUGCCGUUGCCCACUUUCUUCCCUUCAGGCCACAGCAGACUUCUACGCCACAUGCUUCCAUUCUCCCUGCUCUGCAGGGACAGGACAGAACCUAAGGAGGCUCAGGGAAGGGACCUGGGAGGGAACAUUGCAAGGAAGAGAUGGGCCAUGGAGAGGAAGUAUACAAAAGUGACCCAGACAAAGAGAUUCUUUGGGCUUUCAUCCACGUGAAUGUGCUGCUUUUCCUCUCCUACUUCGAUACUUCCUUCUGAUUUUACACAUGUUUUGGGAUUAUUCAUGGGCCUGGAUAUGAUAUAAAAAUUAAAGAUUUAAAACAA
Homo sapiens (human) is the source of this 543-nucleotide long non-coding RNA. The record is from Ensembl. Lineage: Eukaryota; Metazoa; Chordata; Mammalia; Primates; Hominidae.